This 46-nucleotide ribosomal RNA is filed under the name Cabomba caroliniana. RNAcentral's name for it is "4.5S ribosomal RNA". The record is from RNAcentral. Lineage: Eukaryota; Viridiplantae; Streptophyta; Magnoliopsida; Nymphaeales; Cabombaceae.
UAAGGUCACGGCGAGACGAGCCGUUUAUCAUCACGAUAGGUGUCAA